Molecule: ribosomal RNA, 468 nt
Filed under: uncultured bacterium
Lineage: Bacteria
Description: partial 16S ribosomal RNA
Rfam family: Bacterial small subunit ribosomal RNA
Source: RNAcentral
GACGAACGCUGGCGGCGGGCUUAACACAUGCAAGUCGAACGGAAAGGCCCUGCUUUUGUGGGGUGCUCGAGUGGCGAACGGGUGAGUAACACGUGAGUAACCUGCCCUUGACUUUGGGAUAACUUCAGGAAACUGGGGCUAAUACCGGAUAGGAGCUCCUGCUGCAUGGUGGGGGUUGGAAAGUUUCGGCGGUUGGGGAUGGACUCGCGGCUUAUCAGCUUGUUGGUGGGGUAGUGGCUUACCAAGGCUUUGACGGGUAGCCGGCCUGAGAGGGUGACCGGCCACAUUGGGACUGAGAUACGGCCCAGACUCCUACGGGAGGCAGCAGUGGGGAAUAUUGCACAAUGGGCGGAAGCCUGAUGCAGCAACGCCGCGUGCGGGAUGACGGCCUUCGGGUUGUAAACCGCUUUCGCCUGUGACGAAGCGGGAGUGACGGUAAUGGGUAAAGAAGCACCGGCUAACUACGUG